RNAcentral lists this ribosomal RNA (491 nucleotides) under uncultured bacterium. RNAcentral describes it as "bacterial SSU rRNA". It matches the Rfam family "Bacterial small subunit ribosomal RNA", at positions 29 to 521 of the family's 1533-position model. The record is from RNAcentral.
AGUGAACGCUGGCGGCAGGCCUAACACAUGCAAGUCGAGCGGCAGCGCGGGGGCAACCCUGGCGGCGAGCGGCGGACGGGUGAGGAAUGCAUCGGAAUCUACCUCGUUGUGGGGGAUAACCUCGGGAAACCGGGACUAAUACCGCAUACGACCUACGGGUGAAAGUGGGGGACCUUCGGGCCUCACGCGAUGAGAUGAGCCGAUGCCGGAUUAGCUAGUUGGCGGGGUAAAGGCCCACCAAGGCGACGAUCCGUAGCUGGUCUGAGAGGAUGAUCAGCCACACUGGAACUGAGACACGGUCCAGACUCCUACGGGAGGCAGCAGUGGGGAAUAUUGGACAAUGGAGGAAACUCUGAUCCAGCCAUGCCGCGUGAUAGAUGAAGGCCCUCUGGGUUGUAAUAUCUUUAUCUGGGAGAAACGACUCCUAUUCUUAGGAACUUGACGGUACCAGAGGAAUAAGCACCGGCUAACUCCGUGCCAGCAGCCGCGGU